GAUGAACGCUGGCGGCGUGCUUAAUACAUGCAAGUCGAGCGAAGUGCUUUAACGGAAUUCUUCGGAAGGAAGAUAAAGUGACUGAGCGGCGGACGGGUGAGUAACGCGUGGGUAACCUGCCUUAUACAGGGGGAUAACAGUUAGAAAUGGCUGCUAAUACCGCAUAAGCGCACAGGACCGCAUGGUCUGGUGUGAAAAACUCCGGUGGUAUAAGAUGGACCCGCGUCUGAUUAGCUAGUUGGUGGGGUAACGGCCCACCAAGGCGACGAUUGGUAGCCGGACUGAGAGGUUGAACGGCCACAUUGGGACUGAGACACGGCCCAG
RNAcentral lists this ribosomal RNA (324 nucleotides) under uncultured bacterium. Its description in RNAcentral is "bacterial SSU rRNA". It matches the Rfam family "Bacterial small subunit ribosomal RNA", at positions 28 to 334 of the family's 1533-position model. The record is from RNAcentral.